UGCAAAAGGUGUCCGAUACACACAAAGGGGAGAGAGAAAGAGAGUAUAGUGGAGAAGCCCUCUCUCUCUCUCUCUCUCUCUCUCUCUCGGAGAAGGUGCCAGUUUCCUUGUUCUGGAUCUGUUUAUUGUUCUUAGUCCUUUAAUUUGUAGCUCUCGAUCUUCUACUGAGAUCUCAGCUCUGGGAGAAGCCCUAGCCCGAUAAUUCGAUGCAAAGGGGCUUCUUUUCUGUUGGUUGGCGUGGGGGUCCGUCCCUGCUUGGGAUCCUCUUGAGUUAGGGUUUAGUGGCGGCCGGGGAUGAUGAGGGGAUUCGAGGGGCAGGGAGGGGUUCCUGGGAGCCCUGGCCGCCCCCGUGACGGUCCCAGGGAGCUCGGCGAUGCCGUCGCAGAUAAUGCCCUCUUCGAUGCUUCACAAUAUGCAUUCUUUGGCAAGGGGGUCAUGGAGGAAGUUGAGUUAGGGUGUAUAGAAGACAAUGGCGGUGACAAUGCUGGUUUUAUUGGGAUUGAUGAUGAGUACCAUUUCUCUACCAUUGGAGACAGAGAAGAGGCUGUAGUUUUAGACUCUCUCUCUGAUGCUGAUGACCUUGCUAGCACUUUUGCUAAGUUGAAUAGGGUUGUAAAUGACCCAAGGACUGCAGGAGUUAUUGGUGAUAGAGGAUCUUCUUCUAGAGAAAGUUCUUCAACUGUGGACUGGACACAGGAGGGAGACUAUUUAAACUGGAUUGAUCAGCGAAUAUUAGAUGCUGAAAAUAUUCAGGAAGGUAAAAGAUGGUGGUCACAGCCACGCCCCUCAUCAUCUUUGCUUUCAGAAUCCAAACCACUGUAUAGAGCAUCUUCGUACCCUCAACAGCAACAGCAGCAACAAGAACAGCAGCAGCAGCAGCAGCAAUACGCUCGGGAAUCAGUCUUCAUGCCCAAUUUAUGUGUCACUUCCUACGCUCCACCUGGUGGACGAUCUCAGCCGUUGAUAAACCUUACUCGGCACUUAAGCAUACCGUCUCUUAGUGCUGGGCCCCAGCUACCUGGCCCGAGUCUCGUGCCUUAUUCUGAUUCUCAACAACAUUUGGGAGGAUUAACUCAUGGAUUGCACUAUGGUUCAGACAUAUCUCAGAUUAUUCCUCCUAGCCCUGGGAUGAGUAGCCAGACAAACAACUAUCUGCUGAACCGAGCAAGCCGAUUAUCGAGCGAUGAUAUGUUUCCUAACUUGUUACGGCAACAAUUAUCUCUGCCAAGCAAUUUGAGAGCUUCACAAAUACUGUUGCAGCAUCAACAUCAGAAAUUGCAACAGUUCCAGCCAUCUCUUCCCCAUUUCUCACACUUGCAGACUAGAUUGAACCCUCAUGGUUCCCCACCACAAAUGAGGUACAAAUUUGAUCUGGCUAUUCCCAUGUUUGAUACAAGAGACCAUAGAUUGAAAGCAUCACAAAGAGGAAAACAGACCUUCCGAUUUUCUCACCAGUCUUCAGAUAUGAAGAGUGAUAAUAAAUGGCCACAGAUUAGGUCCAAGUACAUGUCGCCAGAAGAGAUAGAAAACAUUUUGAGAAUUCAAAAUGCAGCAACACACGCGAGUGAUCCUUACGUAAAUGACUACUACCACCAGGCUUGUCUUGCAAAAAAAUCAACUGGAACUGGAAGGCUGAAGCACAAUUUCUGCCCAAUAGCUAUAAAAGAUCUGCCUUCUCGGUCACAUGGUAAUAAUGAAUCAGUUGAUGCACUCAGGAAAGUUCCACUCUCUUCGGUUCGUAGACCUCAACCCCUUCAUGAAUUUGACACAACAUCCUCGUCGGUCAAUGGCACCCAUGAUCAGAAGUCUUCCAUGAAGCCUCUUGAGCAUGAGCCGAUGUUUGCAGCUAGAAUCACCAUUGAAGAUGGUAUUUGUGUACUUCUCAAUGUAGAUGAUAUUGAUAGGCUUUUGCAGUUCAACCCGCCGCAAGACGGUGGAUCACAACUGAGACGGAGAAGGCAGGUUUUCCUGGAAGGGCUUGCGGCAUCACUUAAUCUCGUUGAUCCACUUGGCUCCAAUAAAGCUGGCCAUUCAGUUGGACUCGGCCCAAAAGAUGACAUUGCUUUCCUUCGCAUAGUCUCUCUUGCCAAAGGCCGAAAGUUCUUAUCGCAUUAUCUUCAACUUCUCAACCCUGGAAGUGAGCUCAUGCGAGUGGUAUGCAUGGCCAUUUUCCGACACCUGAGGUUUUUAUUUGGUGGUUUACCUUCAGAUUCCAGUGCAGCCGAAACGAUAACCAAUCUCGCCAAGACUGUCUCUCUAUGCAUGAGUAAAAUGGAAUUGAAUGCACUCGGUGCUUGCCUUGCAGCCAUAGUCUGUUCGCCUGAACAACCACCUCUUCGCCCUGUUGGAAGUUCAGCCGGUGAUGGGGCCACUGUUGUCGUAAAAUCCAUUCUUGACCGGGCAACCGAUCUUCUGUCAGACCCUCAGGCUGCAAACAGUUGCAGCAUAUCUAACCGAACUCUGUGGCAGGCAUCAUUUGAUGCUUUCUUUGGUCUCCUCACUAAAUAUUGUCUGAGUAAAUAUGACAGUAUUCUUCAAAUGUUACUUAUUCAGGCACCAAACGAUGCAGUCGUCGGAUCUGAGGCAACCAGAGCUAUAAGCAGGGAGAUGCCUGUUGAUCUGUUACGAGCGAGCCUGCCUCAUACAGACGAGCAUCAGCACAAGGUGUUGCUUGAUUUUGCUCAGAGAUUGAUGCCUGUUACUGGCUUUAGUGCUCAUGGAAGUGAUAGUGGAUCUGUGACUUAUGAAUCAGUUCCUGGUUGAUGCCUCCGGAGAGACAAAUCAGAUGGCUCCGAACCAUGUGUUAGGUCUGGUCUUCUUUUGUCACAUAUGUGGCUCUUCAAUUAACUGAGCCAUGUUGGCAACUCACUGAAAAGAUGCACCAUGGAACUUGUAAGAUUCUGGGUUUCGUGGUUCUUGAGGCAUGAGGGCGCGCCGACUACCAUCGUCUACGAUUCUCUGGUAAGGACCCUCGGCGUCGGCAUCAUCCAUGGAAAUUUUCAUCAAAGCUUGUAGAUUUCGGAGAGAUUGAUGGCAAGGAAGGAGCACUGGAAGCAAUGACGCAAGGCAUCGGAUUGCCGUUCUCCUUCCCAAGGGGGAAUGCAUUUUUCUCAGCCUGCCGUCACCAUCCAUCCGCCCGAACAUAGGAAGAAGCUUGUUGCGGUAGACCAUGGAGGAUGGAGCAGGUGUCAAUCUAAACAUGCACAGAAUCAGGUCUAUCAAUCGUUACAUCACUGGAAGCAAUGACGCAAGGCAUCGGAUUGCCGUUCUCCUUCCCAAGGGGGAAUGCAUUUUUCUCAGCCUGCCGUCACCAUCCAUCCGCCCGAACAUAGGAAGAAGCUUGUUGCGGUAGACCAUGGAGGAUGGAGCAGGUGUCAAUCUAAACAUGCACAGAAUCAGGUCUAUCAAUCGUUACAUCACUGGAAGCAAUGACGCAAGGCAUCGGAUUGCCGUUCUCCUUCCCAAGGGGGAAUGCAUUUUUCUCAGCCUGCCGUCACCAUCCAUCCGCCCGAACAUAGGAAGAAGCUUGUUGCGGUAGACCAUGGAGGAUGGAGCAGGUGUCAAUCUAAACAUGCACAGAAUCAGGUCUAUCAAUCGUUACAUCACUGGAAGCAAUGACGCAAGGCAUCGGAUUGCCGUUCUCCUUCCCAAGGGGGAAUGCAUUUUUCUCAGCCUGCCGUCACCAUCCAUCCGCCCGAACAUAGGAAGAAGCUUGUUGCGGUAGACCAUGGAGGAUGGAGCAGGUGUCAAUCUAAACAUGCACAGAAUCAGGUCUAUCAAUCGUUACAUCACUGCACCCUUCCCUUCCUUAUGGUAGGCAGGUAGGUUGGUUCUCUCCAACAACACGGACUUCUCAUGUUUCGCACUGCAUGUCGUGCAAGGAAUUGCAAGAAACCAAAGCAACAGCAGUGACAGAGACUUGGAUCGGACUAUACAACAUGAACAUAGAGUGGAUCACACUCAUCCGUCUCAUAACCCAAGUCAUCAGCUAACUUUGAUCCCUCGUACUCGAAAGCUUCGAGUCCUGAAGCCUUGUGCAGUAUCUCUUCAUCUGCUUCGAAGCCGAUGCAGUCGGUCACGCUCAGCUUCUCCAGCUCUCUGCUGCCGCUCAGAAUCGCCAACAACUUUUCCUUGGGCAAAUACGAGUCGUGGAGGCGCAGAUUCUUGAUCCUUGGAAGGUAAUCGACGAUUGCAGAUACGUCCUCGAUCUUGAUAGACCCGGACAUUGCAAGCCCGGAGAAUCGCUUGCAGUUGAGGCUGAUCUGCUUUACCAGUUCCAAGAAGGAAGAUGGCUUCGACUCCAUUUCCAGUCUCUCGAGUUCCUUCCACUUCCCCACGAUCUCCGGGAUGCAGCAGCAGAAGAAGAAGAAGAAGAAGAAGAAGAGGAGUGCGUACGCGUCGGAAGCGUAGACCAGAUCUCGCAGGGAGGCACCGAAGACGCGAGGGAAGCGGAGCUCGCGCGCGGUGCCUUUGCUGCGGGCGGCGGCGAGCUUGAGCAGCCCCGUGAAGGACGGACGGCGUACGGAGAGCCGCGCCGCCAGGCUCUUGGAGAGAUCGCUCCAUGGCAUGAAGUCCAUGCCCCGGAAAUCGAGCACUCUCCAGCAGAGGGGGUCGAGGGAGGCUUUGCGCCACGACCGGCACACCGAUGGCGCGGCCACCGUCAAGUCCACCAGGCUCAGCCGCCGGAAGAUGUUGACGAGGCAGUCCUCCUCCAUCUCCUCCCAUCUCCUCCCCUCCAUCUCCAGUCGCCACGAUGAGACGGUCGAUUGGAGUUCUUAGAAGAAGCAGCCACCAGCUUUGCGGGAUAAAGACGGAGGAAGAAUGGAAUGGUCAAAGGGAAUGACGUUGGACUGUUGACAGGAAUUCCACGCUGGCUGCGUUCCAGAGAGCCUUCUUUCUCUCUCUCUCUCUCUCUCUCUCUCUUCUCAUCCAUCGUCAAAGUCAUAAUAUUUCUAAUUGGCUAAUAGACAUAUUGAUAAUCUCUGACUCAACUGGGCCAGGUUGGGUUGAUACACUCUAUUAUCUUUAGUUGAUCCAUGGAUUCGAUCCAGGUCAGGUUGGGUUGAGAUUGGCAAAUCCACCUCCCAAAGGUGCCGAUCGUUAGUAGUCAGAAACAUGAAAGUUUGUAUCACCCACAUAGAAAUUUGAUAGAAGAUGAUAAUCGAGACAA
Molecule: RNA transcript, 5170 nt
Organism: Musa acuminata AAA Group (dessert banana)
Lineage: Eukaryota; Viridiplantae; Streptophyta; Magnoliopsida; Zingiberales; Musaceae
Gene name: protein PAT1 homolog 1-like
Exons: 11
Source: RefSeq, a predicted model, not a curated record